RNAcentral lists this ribosomal RNA (467 nucleotides) under uncultured bacterium. RNAcentral's name for it is "partial 16S ribosomal RNA". It matches the Rfam family "Bacterial small subunit ribosomal RNA", at positions 28 to 507 of the family's 1533-position model. The record is from RNAcentral.
GACGAACGCUGGCGGCGUGCUUAACACAUGCAAGUCGAACGGAAAGGCCUCUUUCGGGGGGUACUCGAGUGGCAAACGGGUGAGUAACACGUGAGUAACCUGCCCUUGACUUUGGGAUAACUUCAGGAAACUGGGGCUAAUACCGGAUAGGAGCUCCUGCUGCAUGGUGGGGGUUGGAAAGUUUCGGCGGUUGGGGAUGGACUCGCGGCUUAUCAGCUUGUUGGUGGGGUAGUGGCUUACCAAGGCUUUGACGGGUAGCCGGCCUGAGAGGGUGACCGGCCACAUUGGGACUGAGAUACGGCCCAGACUCCUACGGGAGGCAGCAGUGGGGAAUAUUGCACAAUGGGUGGAAGCCUGAUGCAGCAACGCCGUGUGCGGGAUGACGGCCUUCGGGUUGGAAACCGCUUUCGCUCAUGACGAAGCUUUGUGUGACGGUAGUGGGUAAAGAAGCACCGGCUAACUACGUG